This is a non-coding RNA of Pelobates cultripes (western spadefoot toad), 733 nucleotides long. The record is from the annotation of a GenBank genome assembly. Lineage: Eukaryota; Metazoa; Chordata; Amphibia; Anura; Pelobatidae.
CAUCUGGAGGGCCAGAGUUUGAGGAAGCCUGCUAUAGAGCAUAAUUGGUUUAAUUACUUAUGGGUUUGCUGAUCCACCAAUAGCAGGGCACUAUAGUGUAGAUGUGCAGGCCUUGGCCAAAAACAUAGCGAAAACACGUACACGUACACACAUAUACAUGUCUUUUCUUUGGUGUUUUUCAGCAAGUAGAGGUCUAGUUUCCAUCAAAUCCUUCAGAUAUCUUAUUAUAAUGACUGUGGAUGUCAGUGUAAAAUGCAGUGUUUAUGUGGGUAAGUGACCACUCUUCCUUAUGAUAAAGCAAAUACAGGCCAACAUGUGAAAACACUGCCUGCAUCUUAUAUCUACACAGCAUGGUCCUAACUUGUCUACGAGAAAUAGAAACUGUUUCAACCUCAUAAUAUAAGACUAACAACUGUGGUAAUUUUGUAAAGAAAACACGAUUUAAAUAAAGGCCUUUGUUUUUUUUAUUGUUUAUAACUGCCUGAGGUAUUAAGUGCACAACUGGGGCCAUUGUACCAAUGAGUUUGCAUUUUAAGGUAGUAUUUAGUGUGGUCUGCAGUCAGUAGAUUCAUAAUUCCAGGUUUUACCUAAUUUUUAGAUUUUUUUUAAAAAGUAGAUUGUAAGCUUUUUUGAAGCAGAAUAAUCUUGUUCGCACUGUUGAAAUAAUAUGCCUGGGACUUGUCUACUAUAUUGUUCUAUCACUAAUUGUCUAUAUGCUAAAAUUACUGUGUAC